Molecule: RNA transcript, 1889 nt
Organism: Syngnathoides biaculeatus (alligator pipefish)
Lineage: Eukaryota; Metazoa; Chordata; Actinopteri; Syngnathiformes; Syngnathidae
Gene: decr1
Gene name: 2,4-dienoyl CoA reductase 1, mitochondrial
Exons: 11
Source: RefSeq, a predicted model, not a curated record
AUUCACGCGAUUUCUUUCUCUCCAUUAAAAAAAAAAAUACUCUUUCACUUUAUUUUGAAAAGCUACACGCUAACGUCCGUGUCAAAGUUGAACGGCUCUGGUCAACAUGGCGUCGUGGGGUCUUCGGAGGAAAACUUUCCAAACUUUUAUGGCGUCAUGUUUCCACAGCUCGCCAGCCCCCGCUCAGCAGCCUCCUCUUCCUCACUCAUGCUUCUUCCCACCGCUGGAGGAGGCCAUGCUGCCACCAGGAACCUUCCAGGGACGAGUGGCGUUUGUCACGGGAGGCGGGACCGGACUGGGCCGUGCCAUGACUGCCACCCUCUCCCGCCUUGGGGCUGAGUGUGUCAUAGCCAGCAGGAAGUUGGAGGUCCUACAACAGACGGCCAAAGAGAUCAGCAGUCAGACUGGAAACAAGGUCCACGCAAUCAAGCUUGAUGUCAGAGAUCCUCAGGCUGUUACACGUUGUGUAGAACACAUGGAAAGUCUCACAGGAUUGCCUGAUGUGAUCGUCAACAAUGCGGCGGGAAACUUUGUGUGUCCGUCAGAAAAUUUGUCGGCCAACGCAUGGAAGAGCAUCACUGACAUCGUCCUGAAUGGGACAGCCUUUGUCACGCUCGAGCUUGGAAAGCAGCUGGUCCGCAGACAGAAAGGCGCAGCCUUCCUGGCCAUCACAACCAUCUAUGCCGAGUCGGGCUCCGGGUUCGUGGUUCCCAGCGCCGCCGCCAAGGCUGGCGUCGAGGUGCUGUACAAGUCUUUGGCAGGAGAGUGGGGACGCUAUGGACUCAGGUUCAACAUUAUCCAGCCUGGACCCAUCAGAACCAAGGGAGCUUUCAGCCGCUUGGACCCAACGGGACAGUUUGAAGCAGGAAUGCUGAGUCGGAUCCCGACGGGCCGACUGGGCCGACCGUCUGAAAUGGCAAACCUGGCGUCGUACAUGUGUAGCGACUACGCCAGCUGGAUGUCUGGGGCCGUGGUCCGCUUUGAUGGCGGUGAGUACGUGAUGAUGGCGGGAGAAUUCAACGAGCUUCGCAAGGUCACAGGUGAUCAGUGGAAGAUGAUGGAGAAGAUGAUCCGAAGCACCAAAGGAUCGUAAAUAUGCCCACUCUGUCAUGUCAUCAAACUGAGCUGCUCCUUUCACUUAUCUUGCCACGAAGCUGGCGAAACUGUGCAGCUACAGCGAUUAACUUCAGUGGCGGCGGAGGGCUUUAGCCUAGCUUCGACGUCCGGGGCUAACGUCCUCCGCCAAGCUUGAGAGCUUGGCCCACUCUUCGGACUCCGCGUCAUUCCCGUCCGAAGAACCAUCCGCGGCUGCCGCCCCGGAGCUCCCGGGGGCCUUUGCUUACGCACUUAUGUCACGCCUAGGCCUCCAAGUAGUCGGACUCCGCGUCAUUCCGCCCGAAGGACUCUCCUAAUAUUCAACAUUAAUUACAGCCACUGGUUCAAAUCUGUAUGAAAGUAUUCCUCCGUUUUCCUUGCUAUUUCUUCAUCAGAUGAGGAUGAAUCCGAGAAAUCAGCGCUGGGCAUAAUGGUAUCCCAUGUAAUCGAGCGUUUGGAAUGGCACAGUCCACGUCACAUGUGCUCACGUACGUCAUGUGACGCACGAAAAUGGCAGCGCCCCUGAAAAUUUGUAAUUGUGGACAAAAAUCUUCUCAAAACACGAUGAAAUGAGAGAGGAUUUAGCAUCACAUUGUCAAAAUAGAGUACAUAUCACAUGACCUAUUGGAUACACUGUUGAUGCAAAGCACUGGAUUUCUCCUUUAAGGUUAGCCGCAGCUUCUCCCGACAUAUAUUGGGACCAACAAAGCUGACAUAAUGUCGCAGUAUCAUUUAUCAUUUAUCUUAAUUGAUCUUGAAUGUAAUGUUUUCUUCAGUAAAGAGCUAUAAAGGCC